Molecule: long non-coding RNA, 1574 nt
Organism: Oreochromis niloticus (Nile tilapia)
Lineage: Eukaryota; Metazoa; Chordata; Actinopteri; Cichliformes; Cichlidae
Exons: 4
Source: RefSeq, a predicted model, not a curated record
UUGAAUCUCCUGAUUGGGGCCUCCCUGGAUGUAUGAAUAUGAUUUAUAUAGUAAGGUAAAGACGCCUGUGACCACUCUGAUAAGAAGAACCAGGCUGGGGACGGUUGGUUUGUGCUUCUUCUGAAGCCUUUUUUUUUUAUUUUUCUCAAACUGAAAUGUGUUUUCACGUUUUAAAUAUUUCUGUCGCUGUUUAGAUUAAAAAACAAACAAACAAACAAAAAAACAGCAGUCCACGUUCCCAGCUCCAAUCAGCUGGUAUUUCUCACGAUGACAUGCUGGAGGAGCUAAAUGGUACGCAGCCAUCAGGACUAAUGAGUUACACCUGAGCUCGGUGCUCAGGUACCGUCCCGCUGAUGUGCUGAAGAACAGAAAAGGGUAUUUUCAGACAGUUUUUAGACAUUACAGAUGCUUUCAGAUGCUUUCUGGAGGGUUUCCUAAAGACAGGAGAACAGCUAAGGCACAGCAGCACAGCUCCCAGCGAGAGACGACGAUAAAGAGGAGACGGAGGGACAGGCUGGUCGGACAUAUGAACGGAGCCGCGGCGAAGCACAGCGGGACGCCCUCGGCUGGGACCGUCCUCCAGAGUCGGAACAUCUCAGGAAUGUUUUCACACCAGCGACAGGUAGAGCUGCCUUGGUCCUGUAUAUUUCCUGGAAACCCUGCACUCGUGCUUCUAAGCAAGUCUGAUCACCCACCUUGCUGUAUCGGCCUUUGCCUGUGAAACUCCAAAGGAGCUACAAUGAAGCUGGUCUGGCCCAGCGGGCUCCAGUGGUGCAACACCCUCAGUGUCCACACGCCAGGCCUCAGCGGGGAGGUGAGAGGCGGCCGGUAGUGUGUGACCUCAGCGGAGGCGUCCACCAGGAUGUCGUAGGUGGCGGCGAUGACGUUGGUUGGGUCGAUCCAGACAAUCGUAGCCGUCAGGUUGCUCUGGCUCCGGCUCCAGCGCUGCACGGCCACCGGCUCGUCCUCAGGUCCCAGGAGACGCCCCCAGUUCCUGAAGAGACGCUCCUUAGGAUCCCAGUCGGUCCCCACCUGAAGAGCGGAAAGAAAGCCUGAGCAAAGCAAAACAAUCCUGGUCAAGGAGAGAGGAAGAGGAGCUGCUUUUAUGAACCUGUUCUAGCCGGUCAUAAAACCACAACUUAACAUUUCUGCAGCUGAGAUAUUGAACUGUUGGAGUCCCAGCAUGGUACAACUGUCACAUCUACAGCUGUUUGAGGCUAUCUGUCGUGUGUGUGAGAUGCUCUUGUUCACGUCUCUGCUGUCUUUCAUUUCUCUGGGGAGUGUAAUCCUGUGAGACUGGAGAUUCACUCUAAAUUUUUAUAUUUUCACUUAUACAUUAUUCUAUUUACCUGCUUUCUAAUUUUUGAAUAUUUGCUUUUAGUCUUUGUUUUUACUUCCCUGCUGGAAUCAAUCGUUUCUUACGCUUAAAGUCAAAACAUUAAAGCAUCCUGGGACAUUUAUGUAACUGAGAAUCUAACGAGGCAUGUAAACUGAGGUGAUAAUAAACCCAAAACAGUGACUGCAGAACGAUGUCCAGGUUUAUGUUUAGUUAAGAGAGUCCUCAUAAAGACACA